GGGCCCGCACAAGCGGUGGAGUAUGUGGUUUAAUUCGAUGCAACGCGAAGAACCUUACCAGGGUUUGACAUCCUGCGAAUCUCUUGGAAACGAGAGAGUGCCUUCGGGAGCGCAGUGACAGGUGGUGCAUGGCUGUCGUCAGCUCGUGUCGUGAGAUGUUGGGUUAAGUCCCGCAACGAGCGCAACCCACGUCUUUAGUUGCCAGCAUUUAGUUGGGCACUCUAGAGAGACCGCCGGUGAUAAACCGGAGGAAGGUGUGGAUGACGUCAAGUCAUCAUGCCCCUUACAUCCUGGGCUACACACGUACUACAAUGCUACGGACAAAGAGCAGCAAGUUCGCGAGGACAAGCAAAUCUCAUAAACCGAUCGUAGUCCGGAUUGCAGUCUGCAACUCGACUGCAUGAAGCUGGAAUCGCUAGUAA
Molecule: ribosomal RNA, 422 nt
Filed under: uncultured bacterium
Lineage: Bacteria
Description: bacterial SSU rRNA
Rfam family: Bacterial small subunit ribosomal RNA
Source: RNAcentral